AAAACUAGCAAGUGUUACAUGCAUGUGUCUCUGACUUCCAGAGAUUUAUACAAACUAUGCGAGCAAUCCAAAGAACAUUGAUCGUAGCAUCAAGCAUACAGAUCAUCCUGGGUUAUAGCCAAAUUUGGGGACUUUUCUCAAGGUUUUUCAGUCCCCUUGGUAUGGCACCUGUAGUUGGAUUGGUUGACUUGGGAUUAUUUGACAAGGCUUUCCUUCGGUAGGUCUUGCAACUAGAGGGAAUUUGUUGUGAUUAUCGUGUAUGACAAAAUGAUGGACUAGAAAUGGUGUAAAAGUUUUAGUGGUUCACAUGCAAGCGAGUAGGACCUAUCAGAAUGGAUGAGCCUAGAAGAUAUCCUAUGACCAGAUUUGAUCUGAUAGAAUGUUCUGCAUUCCUUGGCCUCUAAUCUUUCACCUUAAUUUUUGGUCAUUAGUUGGGAAACUGCAUCGAAAUUGGGAUUCCAGUGCUCCUAGUUGUCAUUGGAUUGACACAAUAUCUGAAGCACAUAAGGCCCAUCAGGGAUGUUCCCAUCUUUGAACAAUAGAUGUUCAACCACUUGGUAACAAGCUACAACCCUUGCUUUGAGUCCUUUGACAAUGUCCUUGAAUAAGGUAUCAAAUCCGGGCCAGAAUGAUGGAUCCAAACCCAAAUAAAUAACCAUUCAGCCCUUAACCCAAAUAAAUAACCAAUUCAACCAAUUAAUUCAAGGAAAAUUUGAUGGUGCAAUCUAUGGAAAGUUGAACCAGUUUAUUUAGCACUGCAGAUCUACUUAGAGUUAACAGCAAGAUUAACCAAAAAAAAGCCAGCAACUAGAUAGGCACAUAAUGGGGAAAA
Non-coding RNA from Nelumbo nucifera (sacred lotus), 832 nucleotides. NCBI's taxonomy places the organism in Eukaryota, Viridiplantae, Streptophyta, Magnoliopsida, Proteales, Nelumbonaceae. The record is from RefSeq and is a predicted model, not a curated record.